GCUUAACUCCCAAAGCUUCUUCACUCCGCCUCGAAAUUUACAUGGCCGCCGACGAAGCGGCGGAGAGCAGGCUGUCGGAGUGCUGCAUAUCGCACAAGUUCUAUAAAGUCGCCUCUAAAUCCCCCAACAAGAUAGCAGUUAUACACGCGUCCGGUUUCGCCCGAAAUGCCCGUGAUUCCGCUCAACCAGAUGGUGAUAGCACCAAAUUUGCUACCGCGGAAUCCCGACCUCCGCUUUAUGAUGGCGACCAGUGCUUCACUUUCUCUGAUAUUCUCUCCGCCGUCGACAAUCUGAGUUGGCGGCUCAAUCGAGUCCUUCACGGCACCGGUGACCCGUCUUUGAUUAAACCUCGGCCAGUUAAUAUUCUUCGUGAAAAGUCUACACACGUUUCUGAAUAUUUGGCAAGCUCAAGUCGAAGCAUUCAACGGCCAACUAAGAAUAGGAACAUGCCAAAAGUGGUAGGAAUAUACAUGGAGCCGUCUGUGGAGUACAUUGUUGCCGUUCUUUCUGUUUUAAGGUGUGGGGAAGCAUUCAUGCCUCUAGAUCCCACUUGGCCGAAAGCAAGGAUAUUGUCAUUAAUAUCCUAUUCAAAAGCUGAUCUAGUCAUUGGGACAGAUACGUCAAUCGAGGGGAGUUGUUGUCACAGGCUUGAUUCAUCAAAAUGGCUUGUUGAUGAAGGACAAAGUCCUGUUUUGUCUUUUUCUUUGAAGGAGACCAUCAACGAACAGUCUCGUUUAAUAUUAGGGUGGCCUUGUGAAAAUGAAAGCUUAAGAUCAUUCUGUUACUUGAUGUAUACAUCAGGAUCUACUGGAAAACCUAAAGGUGUAUGUGGCACCGAAAUAGGUCUUCUCAAUCGUCUUUUAUGGAUGCAAGAAAUGUAUCCUCUACAUGAAGGAGAUGUAGUGCUUUUCAAAACAUCAAUAAGCUUCAUUGAUCACCUGCAAGAGUUUCUUGGAUCUGUACUCUCUACGUGUACGUUGGUGAUACCUCCUUUCAGUCAGCUGAAAGAAAAUAUAUUUUAUAUCAUAGACUUUUUACAGGGAUACUUCAUUAGCAGACUUGUAGCAGUACCCUCCUUAAUGAGGACAAUCCUUCCUUGUCUGCGAGGUUCAUGUUUAGCAGCAAUUCAAGAUUCAUUGAAGUUACUUGUGCUAAGUGGUGAAGUUCUAAACAUUCCCUUGUGCAAUAUGCUUCUGAAGUCACUACCCCAGACGUCGAUUUUGAAUCUUUAUGGGAGCACUGAGGUGACAGGUGACUGUACAUACUUUGACUGCAAGAGAUUGUCUCUGCUUCUGGAAAAGGAGGUGCUAAGCAGCGUACCAAUUGGUUUGCCUAUGCCUAACUGUGAUGUGGCUCUUGUUGGUGAAAAUGCUCCACAUGAAGGGGAGAUAUAUGUUGGUGGUCUAUGUGUUGCAGCAGGUUACUUCCUUUAUCCUAAUCUCAAGCCCUUAGUAGAUGAGAAUUUGUCUUCAGAACAUGAUACUAGUGUGUGUAGAGUUCAGCAUCACUUUAAAACUGGUGAUUUCGCCAGAAAGCUCCCUAGUGGUGAUUUGAUUUUUCUUGGAAGGAAAGAUCGUACAGUAAAGGUUAGUGGGCAUCGCAUUGCUCUUGAGGAAAUUGAGAAUGCAUUCCGGGAUCAUCCUGAUGUAGCUGAUGCUGCAGUGUUAUCCCGUGAGGUUGAUGGAGAAUUCUUACUUCUGGAAGCUCAUGUGGUGAUGGAGAAAACUGCCAAACAUGAUAAAUGCUUGAAAAAUUCCCUUAGGAAUUGGUUACUGGGCAAGCUUCCAAGGAUAAUGAUACCAGCCAGCAUCUUGUUAACCAAGUCAUUACCUUUGACUUCUUCAGGGAAGGUUGACUUCCUUUCAUUAGCUGCUUCAACACUUCCCGACCAACAAUCCGUGAUUGAUAUCGGAGAAAUUCCUCAGGACCACGUCAUUCAAGUCAUCAGAAAGGUCUUUUCUGAAGCGUUAAUGGUUGAGAAGGUUUCAGUUCAUGACGAUUUUUUUGUGAUGGGUGGUAAUUCUAUAUCUGCAGCCUAUGUCUCAUUCAAGUUGGGAAUCCAUAUGAAGUUUCUAUACACUUUUCCAACUCCGUUGAGGCUUCAAAUGGCCCUUUUGUCACCCAGGUCUUAUCUAGAAACUAAUACUGAUUUGGCAAUGGAUUCCAGAAGGCUGGAAGGCGGGCUUUUACCAAGGGAGUCAAGGAUUUCCAGUACUCUUGUCGACGAGACUCCUAAAAUAUUAAUUCAGGCUGAUACUGAUGGGGGCAUUUAUAGUCCUACCAAAAAGUCAAAGACUGAAUCAAAUGCAUGUUCCUCAGAGAAGCAAAGCCCUACCAAUAGUUUGUGGAAUCCCACUGCGGUGCAAACUGAAUGCUCGUUUAGUCGAUGCAACAAAAGCACACAUGGAAGACAAUGUGACAGAAGUUACAUAUGCGAUAGUAUAUGGUCCAAUAUUGUACCAGGAGAUGGAAAAGGAUUUAUGCGAAAACAUUGGAAAGUUGACAUGGGUUCUUGUGUUGAUGCAUCACCUCUUGUGGUUUCCAGAGGAAGUAAUAUAUAUUUAUUCAUUGGAUCUCACUCGAACAAGUUUGUUUGUAUUGAUGGAAGAAGUGGGAUUGUUCAAUGGGACACCAAAUUAGAGGGACGUGUAGAAUGCUCAGCUGCAAUUGUUGAUGAAUUUUCUCAGAUUGUAGUUGGUUGUUACCAAGGAAAUAUUUACUUCCUUGACUUUUCAAAUGGCAAUGUCAGCUGGAGUUUUCGAACAAAUGGUGAGGUAAAAUCGCAGCCAGUGGUUGACAAGUGCCGACAUUUGGUUUGGUGUGGAUCUUAUGAUCACAGUCUGUAUGCCAUUGACUACAAAAGCUACUGCUGUAUUUAUAAACUUCCUUGUGGGGGCAGUAUAUUUGGUUCACCUGCUAUAAAUGAGAUGCAACAAACGCUUUAUGUAGCAUCCACCAAUGGUCAUGUUACAGCAUUGGAAAUUAAGAAUCUGCCCUUUAAGAAGUUAUGGAAGCAAAAUGUCGGGGCACCUGUUUUUGGCUCUCUUUCAAUCAAUAAUUCUGAUGGAAAUAUAAUUUGUUGCUUGGUAGAUGGGACUGUUGUUGUCCUCAGAACCUGUGGGUCCAUUGUUUGGAAGGUCAGUACUGAUGGGCCAAUUUUUGCUGGACCCUGCACAGCUCAAGCAUUGCCUUCUCAGGUGCUCAUAUGCUCUAGAGAUGGAUGCAUCUAUUCCUUUGAGAUGGAGACGGGUAUCCUGAUCUGGAAGUACGCAUUAGGACACCCAAUCACAUCAUCUCCUUAUGUUGAUGAGAACACCCACUUGAUGUCCAAUAACACCAACUCAUUUGACAGGUUAAUUUGUGUCUGUGACAGUUCUGGUAGUAUUUAUGUUCUUAGAGUCAGCUCCAACAUGGACAAAGUCGAGGAAUUUGCUCGACUGGACCUGGAAGGCGAUAUCUUCUCUUCCCCAGUGAUGAUUGGGGGCAGGAUUUUUGUGGGUUGUAGGGAUGACCAUGUGUAUUGCAUUAAGCUUGACGUCAAAUAGCUCAAACCUCGACUAUCCAUCUCCACUUCCUCAGCCUCUUGGUUCUACAACCAUCUAAUAACUGCAAAACAAGCUUAAAUGAUGGGUUAUCAAGGGAGAUUUCAAAGCUCUAAUCCAUCAAAGUUUUUAAGUAGGGAGUUAGUCUUAUUAUUUUUACAUGUAUGGGCUAAUACUAAAACGCUCUUUUGCUAGGUAGGUUCUUAUUGGUCACAUGCCCUCAUGGAAUGUAUGUUGUUAAUUUUAUUUUUAGAAUAUAGUUUCUUGGUGGCAUGACAUGCAUUGAUGCUAUAUACAUUAAGCUUAAUGUGGUGAGUGUGGUGAGGGCCGACGUAGGCCGACCAUUUCUUGAUUGGACCAAACUCAUUUUAUAUUUUUAAAAGGAACUAAUUGUAUUUGUUUUUAAUAUAUUGUAUAUGUCAAUAGUUUCUCACUAAGAAGCAUUUAGCAGUAAAAGUUUGAGUGGCAUUAGACUUUUUUUUAAAGAUCCCGCUACAAGGGACUCAAACCCAAGACCUUUGGCCUUAAGCAUUAAUAGAUAUUAUAUCUUUUGAA
Salvia miltiorrhiza (redroot sage) is the source of this 4097-nucleotide RNA transcript. It is a transcript of the gene named putative acyl-activating enzyme 19, with no coding region annotated. NCBI's taxonomy places the organism in Eukaryota, Viridiplantae, Streptophyta, Magnoliopsida, Lamiales, Lamiaceae. The transcript is spliced from 18 exons. The record is from RefSeq and is a predicted model, not a curated record.